Molecule: transfer RNA, 75 nt
Filed under: Acidobacteriota bacterium
Lineage: Bacteria; Pseudomonadati; Acidobacteriota
Also listed under: 3 other names
Description: tRNA-Asp
Rfam family: tRNA
About the family: Transfer RNA (tRNA) molecules are approximately 80 nucleotides in length. Their secondary structure includes four short double-helical elements and three loops (D, anti-codon, and T loops).
Source: RNAcentral
GGAACUGUGGCCGAGAGGUGAGGCACUUGGUUGUCAACCAAGCCGAUGACGGUUCGAGUCCGUUCAGUUCCGCCA